UGUAAUUUCGGAAUUUUUGAUAAAAUGUCAUUUUUGAUAAAAUUUUUUUGUAUGAUCUGGUUAGAAAUAGUAUUAGUAUGCAUUCUAAUGUUAUUGGAAAUUUUUUCGCUAUUUUUAUAGAUUUUUUCAAGGUUUUGUUCAUGUAAGGUUAAUUUUUGUAUAGGGAAAAUGGCAUUUUCACUUGUGUUGAUGAUUUUGGUGCUGAUGGCUGUGAGACGUGGCCGAGAUGGUGGUAGAGGUCAUCAUGG
Molecule: long non-coding RNA, 248 nt
Filed under: Ananas comosus (pineapple)
Lineage: Eukaryota; Viridiplantae; Streptophyta; Magnoliopsida; Poales; Bromeliaceae
Description: long non-coding RNA (ACOM_LNC040647)
Source: RNAcentral